CCUACGGGAGGCAGCAGUGAGGAAUAUUGGUCAAUGGGCGCAAGCCUGAACCAGCCAAGUCGCGUGAGGGAUGACGGUCCUAUGGAUUGUAAACCUCUUUUGUCGGGGAGCAAGGCCCGCCACGUGUGGCGGGAAGGAGAGUACCCGAAGAAAAAGCAUCGGCUAACUCCGUGCCAGCAGCCGCGGUAAUCCGGAGGAUGCGAGCGUUAUCAGGAUUUAUUGGGGUUAAAGGGUGCGUAGGCGGAAGGUUAAGUCAGCGGUAAAAUGUCGGGGCUCAACACCGGCCUGCCGUUGAAACUGGUCUUCUUGAGUGAGCGAGAGGUAUGCGGAAUGCGUGGUGUAGCGGUGAAAUGCAUAGAUAUCACGCAGAACUCCGAUUGCGAAGGCAGCAUACCGGCGCUCAACUGACGCUGAGGCACGAAAGCGUGGGGAUCGAACAGGAUUAGAUACCCUUGUAGUC
This 460-nucleotide ribosomal RNA is filed under the name uncultured bacterium. RNAcentral's name for it is "partial 16S ribosomal RNA". It matches the Rfam family "Bacterial small subunit ribosomal RNA", at positions 338 to 795 of the family's 1533-position model. The record is from RNAcentral.